Molecule: long non-coding RNA, 202 nt
Organism: Microplitis mediator
Lineage: Eukaryota; Metazoa; Arthropoda; Insecta; Hymenoptera; Braconidae
Exons: 3
Source: RefSeq, a predicted model, not a curated record
UCACAAAAAAAAAUUACAUAUCCGUCAUCAAUGCUCUUGCAUGGAAAAAAAGAACCAAAGAAACGUCUAUAGCUCCAGAUGAAAUUUCCGAAGAAAAUCUCACGUUUUUCCAAAAAAUUAUAGUUGCUUUGAAAAAAAAUCUUGUAUGGCAAAGUAGUGGACAAUCUAUAACUGAGUCAGAAAAAAAUCUUUUGGAACCUGG